CGAAAUGCGAUAAGUAAUGUGAAUUGCAGAAUUCAGUGAAUCAUCGAAUCUUUGAACGCACAUUGCGCCCGCCAGUAUUCUGGCGGGCAUGUCUGUUCGAGCGUCAUUUCAACCAUCAAGCCCCGCGCUUGUGUUGGGGACCUGCGGCUGCCGCAGGCCCUGAAAACCAGUGGCGGGCUCGCUGUCACACCGGGCGUAGUAGAUUUUAUCUCGCUCAGGGCGUGCUGCGGGUUCCGGCCGUUAAAAAGCCUUUUUUACCCAAGGUUGACCUCGGAUCAGGUAGGAAGACCCGCUGAACUUAAGC
Molecule: unclassified non-coding RNA, 304 nt
Filed under: plant metagenome
Description: partial contains 5.8S ribosomal RNA, internal transcribed spacer 2, and large subunit ribosomal RNA
Rfam family: 5.8S ribosomal RNA (bases 1-106)
Source: RNAcentral